GAAGGAGGAACAUGUGAGGUGAUCGCAGCACACCGAUGUUGCAACAAGAACCGUAUUGAGGAACGUUCCCAGACGGUCAAGUGUUCAUGUUUACCAGGAAAAGUGGCUGGCACGACACGAAACAAACCCUCCUGUGUAGACGCCUCCAUUGUGAUUGGGAAGUGGUGGUGUGAGAUGGAGCCAUGUCUGGAGGGAGAAGAGUGCAAGACGCUACCAGACAACUCCGGCUGGAUGUGUUCCUCUGGGAAUAAGAUCAAGACCACGAGGAACACCCAGCCAUAUUCCACUUUUUAGCUCUGAGGGCCACUCAAUCUUCAGAAGCUCAGCGGCGUCCUUCUCCUCAUCAAGAUUCAUCCCCGGACCUAACAAAGAGCUCCUUCACAGGCGGUGAAUGUGGAUUCUCUCUGUCAAAAAAAUGGACGAAACCAUUCAUUCAAAGGGGUGUUUGACUGGAUUACCUGUGAAUGAACAAUAAAGGAGGAUAAAUACACAAUAUUUGCUCAUUCGGUGCCAAGGAAUAUAUGAAAAAUCGAAAUAAAGCAGGCUAAUCUGUGUUUUGAUCAAUGAGCCCAACGCUGCGGACUCAACAGUCCUGUACACUUCCGUCGAUUUUCUGUGUUUCUCCUGACCACCUUCCUCUGGUUCUAAACUUAUACAGCUUAGAGGAGCCGUUUACUGGAUUUCAAAUUAUACCUGAAGACUUUACCUCCCUAGGUAAACUGGACAAUCCUGAUAUAAGCUGUGAACGACUGUAUGAAGGAUCAUGAUGGAUAAGCGCUGGUCUGUGAAAAUGAGGAGGAAAUCAAUAGGAGAUUUUUUCCAUCCCUCCAUCAAUCUGUCAUUGCGUCGUCCACGCUGGCUUUGGUAAUAGACUGGGAGUUUGUGAAGCCCUACUGUUUCCCCUCCACUUCUGAGUUUAUCACUCAGUGCUACUGUCUACAUGCUGUUCGUUUUGGAAAAUCCCCCCCGCAGGUCAAAGCUCACCCUCUCACCGUCUACACCUACUUGAGCCAGAUAUCUUUUUAUUUGUCGGCAUGCUCAAUGUAUUUUGUGGGAGCUUUGUAUUGAAAGUAACUGUAUAUAUUUCUGUAUAUAUACAUAUAGAUACAUAUUAAAAGAUAUCAUAUGAAGAUCUAACAUGCCCAUAAACCUGUUCAGUGGGACUAUAUUGAUGGUCUUUGUUCCUCGGACAACAAGUACAAUUAAUCCUGAAUUUAAAGCUGUUUGUGGAAGUAGAUAUUCUCUCAAUGUAAUUGAAGACCUGCUUUUUUUCUUUUGCUUGACGACUUUUUCCGAUGAAUCUAAUAUAUUUUUUAAAAUUCACUAAACAGUUUUGCAGAAAAAAAGCAUUACAGCCCAAACAAAAUACGCUGAAUUAGUCAUGGGUAUUUAAGUCAUUGUCAUUCAUUUACAAUGCAAACAAACUCAUUUUCAUGCAAAUUAGGCUUAUUAAAAACUGUGGAUUAUUCAAAGAACUAUUUACUUGUUGAAAUUAAUGUUGUGCUACUACAUUUUAUGUUGAUCAUGACAGUACUAAUUCAAAAGAGAUGCUGUGACACAUCAAGUCAACUAAGAAUUAGUGCAGAUUCAAGGCAAGUAAUAUGUUGUCGGCUCAGAUUGUGUGGGGUCUUGGCCUAAACAUUUUAAAAUUAGUAUUCUUCAUUAAGAUGACAGAAAAACCAAAACAAAGACUGCAUACAGUAUAUACAAGCAUCACACUUCACAAAAUAUCAGUCAUCUUGAUCUCCAUUUGAAUUCUAAUGCUGAGUUCAGACUGCAUAAAUUUAGCCCCGAUUUUGACUAGCCGACAGGUUUUGAGAAAUCGCAGGCAAUCGGUGCUCAUUCAUGUGAGAAACAAUCACACAGUAUGAACUAUCAAAGACGCGAUCUGAAAGAAUCGCAGAUAAGUCAUCAACACCCGUCAGAUAUUUGGCAUGCUAAAUAUCUGGACCUGUCAGUGAUUCAAAAUCAUGCCGUGUGAAAUGUGUUUGGUUAAAAUGAACAUUGGCGAUCACCUACAGCCUAUGACAGAGCGGCAUUCACUCGUAUGAGUAUCUGUAGACCAGUGAGAGGUUGGCUGAGAAGUUCAAUUUGCUUCUUCUCAGUCUAUUUGGACUCAAGAAAUGGAGUAGUGUAAAUUUGGCAGGAUUACUCGUGUCCGUUUGACUUGUCGUCGGAGCAAUAUCAUAGCCGGGUUGAAAAAGAAAAAAAAGUUGAGGAAAAUGUGCUAAUUCCCUUCAAAGGCCAGGGGCCUUAUGUAA
This is a non-coding RNA of Danio rerio (zebrafish), 2261 nucleotides long. NCBI's taxonomy places the organism in Eukaryota, Metazoa, Chordata, Actinopteri, Cypriniformes, Danionidae. The record is from Ensembl.